Molecule: ribosomal RNA, 447 nt
Filed under: uncultured bacterium
Lineage: Bacteria
Description: partial 16S ribosomal RNA
Rfam family: Bacterial small subunit ribosomal RNA
Source: RNAcentral
AACGAACGCUGGCGGCAGGCUUAACACAUGCAAGUCGAACGCAUCGCAAGAUGAGUGGCAGACGGGUGAGUAACGCGUGGGAACAUACCCUUUUCUACGGAAUAGCUCUGGGAAACUGGAAUUAAUACCGUAUACGCCCUACGGGGGAAGGAUUUAUCGGGGAAGGAUUGGCCCGCGUUGGAUUAGCUAGUUGGUGGGGUAAAGGCCUACCAAGGCGACGAUCCAUAGCUGGUCUGGGAGGAUGAUCAGCCACAUUGGGACUGAGACACGGCCCAAACUCCUACGGGAGGCAGCAGUGGGGAAUAUUGGACAAUGGGCGCAAGCCUGAUCCAGCCAUGCCGCGUGAGUGAUGAAGGCCUUAGGGUUGUAAAGCUCUUUCACCGAUGAAGAUAAUGACGGUAGUCGGAGAAGAAGCCCCGGCUAACUUCGUGCCAGCAGCCGCCGUAA